GGGUAACCUCAGAUCAGGUA
This 20-nucleotide ribosomal RNA is filed under the name Peziza varia. Its description in RNAcentral is "partial 28S ribosomal RNA". Lineage: Eukaryota; Fungi; Ascomycota; Pezizomycetes; Pezizales; Pezizaceae. The record is from RNAcentral.